This is a small nuclear RNA of Nycticebus coucang (slow loris), 107 nucleotides long. The record is from RefSeq and is a predicted model, not a curated record. Lineage: Eukaryota; Metazoa; Chordata; Mammalia; Primates; Lorisidae.
GUGUUUGCUUCAGCACCACAUAUACUAAAAUUGGAACGAUACAGAGAAGAUUAGCAUGAUCCCUGUGCAAGGAUGACACGCAAAUUUGUAAAGUGUAAAAAAAAAAA